UACGUAGGGCGCAAGCGUUGUCCGGAAUUAUUGGGCGUAAAGAGCUCGUAGGCGGCUUGUCACGUCGGAUGUGAAAGCCCGGGGCUUAACUCCGGGUCUGCAUUCGAUACGGGCUAGCUAGAGUGUGGUAGGGGAGAUCGGAAUUCCUGGUGUAGCGGUGAAAUGCGCAGAUAUCAGGAGGAACACCGGUGGCGAAGGCGGGUCUCUGGGCCGAUACUGACGCUGAGGAGCGAAAGCGUGGGGAGCGAACGGG
RNAcentral lists this ribosomal RNA (253 nucleotides) under uncultured bacterium. RNAcentral's name for it is "partial 16S ribosomal RNA". It matches the Rfam family "Bacterial small subunit ribosomal RNA", at positions 524 to 776 of the family's 1533-position model. The record is from RNAcentral.